CUUCAGGCAGCACAAUACGUUUUCCUUUCCUGAGGUUUUCUUAUGUGUGUGUGCAUGUCUGUAGUUAAAUGGAAGACGGAAUUAUCAAAAGGAGUAAAAAAGGGAACUAAAGGAGGAGUGGAGAGUGGUUCUGUCUUGAAAUUGAACUGAGAAAGAGUAACAAAAGAAAUGGUCUGCUGUUUGAAGAGGAAGCUGUGAAUAAGAAUAGCACAAGAAGAUAAACAGCUACUUCAAAACAAAUUUUUCCAGCUCUCUUCCAAAUACAAAACGUUAUUGCGAUGUGCUGUGCUGCAAUUGAAGGCAUCUUGGUUGUGACAGGAAAAAAAAAAAAAAAAAGGAGCUACUGAAUUGCUUUGUAUUUAAGCAGACGCUCUGGAAGUCUGAGAGCAUGUGUUUUAUGUGCAACUUCUGACAACCUAGGGAAAAGAGAAGUGAGACAACGAUAUGAUCUGUGGCUUCUCUGGAUUCCCUGCCUCACCAUCCCUAGAGUCAUGGGUUUUAAUAACCUGGGCUGGAACAACAGAAGUGUACCAGGAAGGAUCCAUCCAUCCCCUCUCAUGCACGAUGCCAGCCCUCAGGAGCAAAAAGAUUUAUUUCUUCACACCUGAUGUGUGUUUAUUCCAAUUCGACCUCACUGAGGUGAGUUGUCUCUGAGUUUCUGCUGGGGUAAUAAAAAAAAAGAAAAAGAGAGAAAAAAGUUUUUACAAAGAAAACACAGAUGCUACGGAUUCUUGUUUUGCUUGAAAAGAAGUUCAAACUUUCUACAUCUACUUCUGUAGGAGAAAGUAGGCCAGAAAUGCCAUUUCCUAUUUGGUCACCAACACCAUUUCUUUCCUAGGAGCCUAACCCAUUUCUAUUUUUCAGGCACAGGGCCUGCAAUAGGUAAAAUACCUUUAGAAUGUUGACCUGUUUGUGUUCAGUUUUGCAAUAUGUACUCAGAAUAUGUAUGCCCACGUGCUUUUAUCCAGAAGUUGAUGUGCAGCCUAUGGGCUGAGCAGAAAUACUGCAAUCAGCAGUGACUUACGAUAAGAAGUAAAGGAGACUAAUCCGUCCAGUUUCAAUGCCUUGGAGAAUCUGAUUGUUGUCUGACCCCAUAUUGUAACAGUCCAUAAAGGUGCUGCUAGUGGAAUGUGUCUAUAUCUCUCUUUUAAACUGAAAAAAAAAAAAAAAAAUGGCUAUCCUUAGCAAAGACAGAGCUGAAGGAAAGGAAGCAGGCCAUGAAGAGAUUGGCUAUGAAAAACUGAUGGACUAUGAACUUUCUUGCUUAAUUACUGUAACUUGUGAAGUUAAUUCCCUAAGCCUAAGCAAAGCAUCUUUGCUGUCUGAGGUGUCUCUGCAUCCGCAGUGGAUUACCCAAGUGUUUUACUUACACAGGCAGAAAUCAUGCAACGCCAGCUGGAAUACAACUCACUGCUGAACUGGGAAGUGGCUCUGAAAUGACCAGGGAGUUUAGGACAGGAAAUGAACGAUGUUAUUAUGCCUAAUUUCAACUUCACAGCAAUUUUGGGAGGCAGAAUGUCAAUAUCUAGUCCACAGCUGGGCCCUUGGGCUGUCAAGCCUGAAGCUGAAAGCACCCUGAGUCCUGCCAUCUGUUAUGGCCCGGCAGCAGAACUCAGUGCCACGGUGUCUGAGCAUCUAAUGACUACAAGGUGUAAGGAUCUCUGUUGUACUUCUCAUCCAGAACCCAGUAGUUCUUCCUUUAACACUAUGCUGAGGCAUUGCUUCAUUACAGAGGGUAGAGUGCCAUCUACUGAAUCAGGUUGAUGUGUUUCUGUAACUCCCACAGGAAUGUGAAAUGAUUUUGUACCUUUAUUGAUAUAUCCUCGUGCUCUCUGCUGACUGCUCCACUCCCUCAGCUCGGUCCAAGUCCUGCCACGUGUUCUGGUUGGAGCUGAACACUGACAAUAAGUGAUGGGCAGUAACAGCAUCAGCAGUACGUUACAGUCAUGUGAGCUAUUUUGAAAACCCAUUAUUCCAACCACUUUCCUGUAUGAUUUUGUGUCAUUCUCAAUUACUAUUCAACAGAUUUAAUAGAAAACACCUUUAUCCAAAUCACAUAUUUUUCAGUUUUUAGGAUCUCUCACUGUUGUAUAUAUGCUUUUAACCAUCUACAAACAGCUCAGAGUUUACUGCAAGAUCCCACUUACCUGAACGCUUCCCAGCUGCACUUGUAAAGAAACACAGGGCACAGCUGAUCCAUGAGGGGAAGGGAAUACAGGAUCCACCCAACAGCCCAGAAUCCUGCAGUAAAUGGAGAUUGAUUCUUGACUCAAACGAGCACUGAGCUAAUGAAUUAAAUAGUGCAGUCCUGUGUGUUUUCGAGGCUGUAUACACCUGCUAUCUAAAGGGGAAAAUGAACGAGAUUUGCUUUUUUAAUGUAACCUGGAAGGUUUGCUAUCCCAUGGGUCCUAGGUUUGACAGUUGUAAAUGUUUUAGCGUUAUUUCACUCCUUCCCUUCAGGCAAUAAAUCUGUUCCUGCUCUUUGGAACAGAAAAAAAAUCAAGGGAUUGCUCUUGCUGUCAUCAUGAGGCUCAGACUCCUGCAGGUUUGUAGGCUGUCAUUUGGAGGCUGCUGAACUAUCUUGCUAAAGGCAGAGACAAGGAAGUGUGACUCUGAACCUAACCAAAACUCAGGGGCUAGGCUGGGUUUGGCCUGUGGGUGCUCCCUGGUGUGAUCCCUUCAGAAGCGAUUCAGUUCCAACAACGAUACUUGAAAAGCGAUCAAAUCAAAGCAAUGGCUUGUGCUUACAAGACUUGUGUAUUUUCCAUGUCAGCCAGCUUUCCAGGGCUCAAAACAGCAGUGAAUAAUUUUUUAACUGAGGCAAAACUUGAGCUGCAAUAAGCUCCUGCGAUCAAAAUGUAGCACCAGGUCUAAGAUACCUGCCCAGAAACAAAGAUAUUUCUGUCUUUGAACCUACAAAAGUAGUUCCUCUGUCUGUUAGUAAGGUUUUUGCCACCCAAUUGAUGAUUCAGUUCUAUGCGUGAGAACAGUAUAAAUCUGAUCAGUUAAAAUUGCCCUAAGCCUUGGAUUUGACAAAUGGUCGUAACAGUGGGGCUGCUAUUUAUAAAGUAAAAAUUUGUUAGGGUUUUGUUUAAGUAUUCUAGUGAUCUUUGUGUAGAAAGUCUGAAGAAUUAAGUGACGUAUGUUUAUUUUAUGAUAAAGUAUAAUCUGUAGGAGUUCCUCCUACCAAAAUACACAGAUGCCUUGUUUUUAAUACAAAUACUGACCUGCCUGACCUGUUCUCACUGGCUUUAGUUUUCCACCUUUGUAUGCAUCAGCCAAAGCCCAAAGGAUGACAGGUUGAGCAUCAUCUUUGGAUCAGCCACACAGGAGGGUCCGGUGGGAGUGCUCCAGAAUCACAAAACCUCACUGAAAUUUCACUGAGCAUCUGCCCGAACUGUCAGACUGAAUCUGUCAGAUAUGAGAGCAUCAGGAACAGGCUGCAAGAUUAACUGACUCCUCAAGGUUUAUUCUAGCUUUUUUUCUACGAUUCUAAAACCUGGACAGCCUUAAUGUUGCACAGUUGUGGUCUGCAGUUCCAAUUCCUGUUUCAAAGAAAUGGCUUUCAAGUAGGCGGGCGCUGUGUGGCACAUAGCCUUUCCCAGCCUGGAAGAGGUGUGCUGCGUGUAAUUGUGUAUUUAUGCGAUGCUGUGAGAGUGUGCUCACCCUCACCUUGGAGCUGGAGGUGCUGCUCACUGCACCCGGAGGUGAAGAACACAACUUCAUCCUUGCGGUGAGGAUAUGUGCCAUCAACCCUUUCUCUCUCUGAGAGCUGAAACUCCCUGUUGAUCUCCAAAUAACAUUUUUUUUCCUACUCGGGCUCUGUCAAUGCAUGCUAACCUUAGUGUAAACAGUUUUUCAUAGAAAAAUUCCCUCAGGACAACUUCCAGCUUGAUUUUUGAGGAGUUGCUUAGCCGUAAUCAUGCAGAAUUCUCUAGGUUUCAAGCGGCGUGCCUCCUGCUGAGGUGUUCUGCCUGCUAAUGAUAGGAACUCAAGCUGUUCAUUUUGUCUAGGCAAGGGCACUUGAAGGACAGCUCUCUGCUUUCGCCAUCCCUCUGUAUCUUCUAUGAGACAAACUGCAGAACUUUGGCAGAGAAAGUGUUGCAGUCCCUUCCUUAGUAAGCCUGCCUCUGAGAAUUGAUGGGUGAUACUGCCGAGAAUGAGCCACUUGUUUCUGACUUUUCUAAGAGGUUGCUAUAGGAAGAUUUCCAUCUUCUUCUGAAAAUGGUGAAAAGAAGAGUAAGUGAUGCCCAAAGUGAAAGCUCUGUCCUCAGAAUGAAGAUUUACUACAGAAACACCAGGCAGAUACUUAAGAGUGGAUUUGGAGUUUGCAGUGAAAAUAACAGUUCACUUAGUUCCAGGCAAUGCUCUCUCCUCCAAAUUAUUGCUUCUUUAUAUAGGAAUUAGGUUUAUUUUAGCAGGCUUCAACAGCAGAACUGUUGCAAACAUAGAAAAGGUUGUUAGAGUCUUUGCUGUACCACUUGGAAGCAUUGCACUACACUUCUGCCUUCUCCAAAGCAGACUGCACCCUGGUGAAGCCCAGCUCCAAAUGAUUCUAUGAUUCUAAGUGGCACUUGGGUCAUCCACGCCUUCAUCUGAAGGGGAAAGUACCUGCAUCUCCACCUGCUGCUUUGUGAGUCAGGUACACGUGCCUCCAUCUCCCCGUGCCUUCCAAGCACCAUCUGUAAGUCUUUUCAAAGAAAAUUCAAAGAAGGUAUGGACAGUUUGCCCCACCAUGUCUUCCUUACACAUCACAACAAUGCAUUAUGUCGUUCUUCUAGACAAGUGCUCAGUCUGAGAUGCCUGACAGUGGGCAUUUCAAUAGUGGGCUCUAUUUAUACACAAUGUAUCUGGAACAACAAAGGGUAAUGAAUCACUUUACUGGCUGUAUGCAUGCAAUUAAUAUAGCAUUAGUAAUACAGGGGAUGGUAGCCCGUGUUAACAUUGCCUGCCAGCUAAAUUCCUAUAAAUAAUUGUCUGCUCGAAUUUAACUCAUUUAUUUGUCAGUGCUCAGAAUACAAAAUAAUUUGUCCUGCAACAGUGGCUCUGUCUCCUUGUUAAGCUGGCACGUUGUUUCCUUUGGUAGCAAAUGAAUGAAACUUGGGGCUGUGUUAGCGGCUUCAAAACUAUUGGCUGAGCCAAGCCCUCUAAUAUCUGCUUGUGGCAGAGUUGUACACAGCGAAACAAAGUCAGCACAAGGAAUAGAAGACUGGAGAAACCGGAGUGGUGGGGAACACAAUAAGGAAAAUGAGAAGAUUGCCUCUGGCAGCUUCAGGCCAAGCUGCCGGGAUCCCAAGGCUUCUGCAGCAUGGGAUGUGGUGACUGCUGGCUCUCCCCACCUGGAGACAGUUGAUAUUGAAGAGCUGUAGUCAAUGACAGAUGAUUUCAGCAUUCAUUGCAGGUGUGACUGCACCUAUAUAUUCCCUGUAGAGCUCCGCAUUCACCUGAUGCUGAUAAAUCAUUCUUUCUAGGUAUAAAAUGUGGGGUUCAGAGGAGAAAAUGUAUAGCAGGACCCAGCAAGGUGAGUGCAUUUGGGUAUUAAACAUGGCUGAGAGAGAUUUCAAAUUCCAAUCAUGGCUUUUCCCAAAGUAUUUGUUCUGCCCUAUCAGCUAAUACAGCAACGGUGCAUAUAUUAACAUCCUGGAAUUGAAAUAGAGAUCAAGGGCAUAGGGUAUAAAUUGGUUUUACAGCAUAACGUUAAAUAAUCAAACCAUACUGGAGCAGCCUCUGUGACAAAAUGACUUACAUUUUUGGUGCCGCUUUUUAAAUGUGAUUAUGCAUUUUAAUUGUUUAACUCCAGUCUGUGGAGUAGUUUCAAAGAUGUUUUAAAAUAACUUACAGCAUGAAAAGCCGCCUGAUCUUUAAAUACACCUCAGGUUCAAUAAAUUUGUUUUUAAUUUCGUGUGAUGUGUGAAAUAGUAAUUUUGUGCAGUGCUUUCAGGGGAGUGGAGAGGGAUUUCAUAAAACAGGCCGGGACAAGGAGGGUACAACUGCAUAAAGGCAGUAGGAAUUUCCAUGCUGCUUCUCGUUGUGUCUCGCUGUAAGAACACAGUGUUUGGAAGAGUGGUGCACUCCUGCUGUUUUAAGCCUCAGAAUGAACAGCACUAUGGUGUAAUGGGGCUUCACACAGAGAUAUGAAGGUGGCAGGUUUGUCCUGCUCCGCUCCUUCAGCCAUCCAUCUCACCGUCAUCUCCCCAAAGCAGAACUCUGUCCCUGGCUUGAGGGGGUCCAGCUGAAUGUAGGGCCCUUGAUGAGCCUUUGAAUUUGCUUGAGCACUCUCCAGAUCCUCUCCUAUGAAUAUGAGGCAAGAAUGGGUUAAUUCCAGACACAUUUCACAAGCUCAAUAACAUGUGAAAACUGAGAUGGAAAUCUGCACUUUAUUUGUUUUCGGUCCUGAUUAUUUAGAGAGCAGAAAAUCAUAAUUUACAGUGCCAAUUUUCGGUAUUUUUAACCAGAUCAUGGCUUAAAAUACUGGAAAGAUUUAAGAGAAAUAACAAGACACCAUCUGCCUGUUUUUUU
This 6519-nucleotide long non-coding RNA is filed under the name Gallus gallus (chicken). Its description in RNAcentral is "lncRNA (ENSGALG00010010304.1)". The record is from RNAcentral. Lineage: Eukaryota; Metazoa; Chordata; Aves; Galliformes; Phasianidae.